AAGGUUUUAAGUUCAUAAAACUGUUAGCCUUCAAAGCUGGAAUAAAAAGUAGACCCUUUUAAACCUUA
RNAcentral lists this transfer RNA (68 nucleotides) under Allopsontus sp. 1 JZ-2014. Its description in RNAcentral is "tRNA-Trp". Lineage: Eukaryota; Metazoa; Arthropoda; Insecta; Archaeognatha; Machilidae. The record is from RNAcentral.